AACCAGCUCCCCGAGUGGUCAGGAUGAUUAUUGGGCCUAAAGCGUCCGUAGCCGGGCAUGCAAGUCGCUAGUUAAAGCACGGGUCUUAAGCCCGAACCUGCUAGCGAUACUACACGCCUUGGGACCGGAAGAGGCAGAUGGUACGUUAGGGGUAGGGGUGAAAUCCUGUAAUCCUUAACGGACCACCGGUGGCGAAGGCGAUCUGCUGGGACGGAUCCGGCGGUGAGGGACGAAACCCAGGGGAGCGAGCGGGAUUAGAUACCCCGGUAGUCCUGGGCGUAAACGAUGCGCACUAGGUGUUGGCGGAGCUAGUGAGCUCUGCCGGUGCCGAAGCGAAGGCGUUAAGUGCGCCGCCUGGGGAGUACGGCCGCAAGGCUGAAACUUAAAGGAAUUGACGGGGGAGCACCACCAGGGGAGGAGCCUGCGGUUC
RNAcentral lists this ribosomal RNA (430 nucleotides) under uncultured archaeon. Its description in RNAcentral is "bacterial SSU rRNA". It matches the Rfam family "Archaeal small subunit ribosomal RNA", at positions 474 to 903 of the family's 1478-position model. The record is from RNAcentral.